RNAcentral lists this ribosomal RNA (1249 nucleotides) under metagenome. RNAcentral's name for it is "bacterial LSU rRNA". It matches the Rfam family "Bacterial large subunit ribosomal RNA", at positions 1635 to 2875 of the family's 2925-position model. The record is from RNAcentral.
UACACGACCGUACCGCAAACCGACACUGGUGCGCGAGAUGAGUAUUCUAAGGCGCUUGAGAGAACUCAGGAGAAGGAACUCGGCAAAUUGACACCGUAACUUCGGAAGAAGGUGUGCCUUUAGUAGGUGAACCAUUUACUUGGGGAGCCCAAUGAGGCUGCAAAAAAUCGGUGGCUGCAACUGUUUAUUAAAAACACAGCACUCUGCUAAGACGAAAGUCGACGUAUAGGGUGUGACGCCUGCCCGGUGCUGGAAGAUUAAAUGAUGGGGUGCAAGCUCUUGAUUGAAGUCCCAGUAAACGGCGGCCGUAACAAUAACGGUCCUAAGGUAGCGAAAUUCCUUGUCGGGUAAGUUCCGUCCUGCACGAAUGGCGUAAUGAUGGCCACACUGUCUCCUCCUGAGACUCAGCGAAGUUGAAAUGUUUGUGAUGAUGCAAUCUCCCCGCGGAAAGACGGAAAGACCCCAUGAACCUUUACUGUAGCUUUGUAUUGGACUUUGAACAGAUCUGUGUAGGAUAGGUGGGAGGCUUUGAAGUGUGGUCGCUAGAUCGCAUGGAGCCAACGUUGAAAUACCACCCUGGUGUGUUUGGGGUUCUAACCUAGGUCCAUUAUCUGGAUCGGGGACAGUGCAUGGUAGGCAGUUUGACUGGGGCGGUCUCCUCCCAAAGUGUAACGGAGGAGUUCGAAGGUACGCUAGGUACGGUCGGACAUCGUGCUAAUAGUGCAAUGGCAUAAGCGUGCUUAACUGCGAGACUGACAAGUCGAGCAGAUGCGAAAGCAGGACAUAGUGAUCCGGUGGUUCUGUAUGGAAGGGCCAUCGCUCAACGGAUAAAAGGUACUCUGGGGAUAACAGGCUGAUACCGCCCAAGAGUUCAUAUCGACGGCGGUGUUUGGCACCUCGAUGUCGGCUCAUCUCAUCCUGGGGCUGUAGCCGGUCCCAAGGGUAUGGCUGUUCGCCAUUUAAAGAGGUACGUGAGCUGGGUUUAAAACGUCGUGGGACAGUUUGGUCCCUAUCUUCCGUGGGCGCUGCAGAUUUGAGGAAGCCUGCUCCUUACGAGAGGACCGGAGUGGACGAACCUCUGGUGUAUCGGUUGUCACGCCAGUGGCAUUGCCGGGUAGCUAAGUUCGGAAGAGAUAACCGCUGAAAGCAUCUAAGCGGGAAACUCGUUUCAAGAUUAGAUCUGCCGGGGCCUUGAGCCCCCUAAAGAGUCGUUCAAGACCAGGACGUUGAUAGGUCAGGUGUGGAAGUG